RNAcentral lists this ribosomal RNA (396 nucleotides) under uncultured bacterium. RNAcentral's name for it is "partial 16S ribosomal RNA". It matches the Rfam family "Bacterial small subunit ribosomal RNA", at positions 523 to 918 of the family's 1533-position model. The record is from RNAcentral.
AUACGUAGGGGGCGAGCGUUGUCCGGAAUGAUUGGGCGUAAAGGGCGCGUAGGCGGCCCGGUAAGUCUGGAGGGAAAGCCCUGCUUUUAAGGGGGGAUUUGCUUUGGAUACUUUCGGGCUUGAGUGCAGGAGAGGAAAGUGGAAUUCCCAGUGUAGCGGUGAAAUGCGUAGAGAUUGGGAGGAAAACCAGUGGCGAAGGCGACUUACUGGACUGUAACUGACGCUGAGGCGCGAAAGUGUGGGGAGCAAACAGGAUUAGAUACCCUGGUAGUCCACACUGUAAACGAUGAAUGCUAGGUGUGGGGGGACUGACCCCUUCCGUGCCGCAGUUAACACAAUAAGUAAUCCACCUGGGGAGUACGGCCGCAAGGUUGAAACUCAAAUGAAUUGGCGGGG